Molecule: non-coding RNA, 52 nt
Filed under: uncultured Mamiellales
Lineage: Eukaryota; Viridiplantae; Chlorophyta; Mamiellophyceae; Mamiellales
Source: RNAcentral
GAGAAAAAAAUAGUCAAUUAAUAGUUAUGUUGAUUUUUUUUUUUUUUUUUUU